UCUGGAGGCAGCUAGGCAGUCAAAGACACUGGAACAGACCAGAGAGAAAAACACAAGCAGAUCCAGGGAUACAGAGACACCCGCCUGGAGAAGCGCACUUAAAGCCUAUGCAAGUUAAACGAGAGGGACAACAUGUUUCGUACAUGUUGUUACAGUCUUCAGUAACUUGUACUUAAUGUGCCAUGUCCACCAAUACUAAAGAACAUUUUACCACCUGAGGGAUAAUUUUAAUAUCAUACGAUGGGGAGCCCAGGAGGUGAGGAAGAAAGGGAAAUUGCACAGGAGCACGACAUUCUGGAGAGAAAAUAUGGCCUUUUCCCUGUUAUUGAAUAAGGCUUUUUUGGGUCUCUUCAUCAUGGCAUUGUCUGGUUUCUCAGAUGUUUUAAAUUGGAAAACUCCUAAACCAAGAAAAAAGAUUAACUGUCUUCGGUUUAUAAAAGAAUUUUAUGAGGGAAUUGAGAGAAUAAGAAAAUAUUGCCUAUAUACAGUUGAUCCAGUAUGUUCACUUAACAAGACCACUUAUGGAAACCAAUGUGCAUUCUGCCUAAAAACAGAGGAAACAAGCAAUUUCACAAAAACAGUUUGGGAAGCCUAUUAUGGUGAAUGCUGACUUUUUUGAAUUCCCAUACGAUGACAUCUGGCCUCAACCCUUCCCUGUUGCAUGUUCCUCAAGAGAACUAUUAUUGUCAACAUUUCCCUAGAAAUUUUCUUAUGAUUGUAACU
RNAcentral lists this long non-coding RNA (723 nucleotides) under Phascolarctos cinereus (koala). RNAcentral describes it as "lncRNA (ENSPCIG00000015329.2)". Lineage: Eukaryota; Metazoa; Chordata; Mammalia; Diprotodontia; Phascolarctidae. The record is from RNAcentral.